Molecule: ribosomal RNA, 490 nt
Filed under: Fusarium sp. FSU9428
Lineage: Eukaryota; Fungi; Ascomycota; Sordariomycetes; Hypocreales; Nectriaceae
Description: eukaryotic LSU rRNA
Rfam family: 5.8S ribosomal RNA (bases 162-315)
Source: RNAcentral
GGAGGGAUCAUUACCGAGUUUACAACUCCCAAACCCCUGUGAACAUACCUAUACGUUGCCUCGGCGGAUCAGCCCGCGCCCUGUAAAAAGGGACGGCCCGCCCGAGGACCCUAAACUCUGUUUUUAGUGGAACUUCUGAGUAAAACAAACAAAUAAAUCAAAACUUUCAACAACGGAUCUCUUGGUUCUGGCAUCGAUGAAGAACGCAGCAAAAUGCGAUAAGUAAUGUGAAUUGCAGAAUUCAGUGAAUCAUCGAAUCUUUGAACGCACAUUGCGCCCGCCAGUAUUCUGGCGGGCAUGCCUGUUCGAGCGUCAUUUCAACCCUCAAGCUCAGCUUGGUGUUGGGACUCGCGGUAACCCGCGUUCCCCAAAUCGAUUGGCGGUCACGUCGAGCUUCCAUAGCGUAGUAAUCAUACACCUCGUUACUGGUAAUCGUCGCGGCCACGCCGUAAAACCCCAACUUCUGAAUGUUGACCUCGGAUCAGGUAGG